RNAcentral lists this unclassified non-coding RNA (872 nucleotides) under Hevea brasiliensis (rubber tree). The record is from RNAcentral. Lineage: Eukaryota; Viridiplantae; Streptophyta; Magnoliopsida; Malpighiales; Euphorbiaceae.
UGAAAGAGCUGUUGAUGAUGGAGUUAACAACUAUAAGGCAAUGUGCAGGGAUAGUCGUAUAAUUCCUGGAGCUGCAGCUACUGAAAUUGAGUUGGCUAGAAGACUGAAGGAAUUCUCUUUCAAGGAGACAGGAUUGGACCAAUACGCUAUUGCAAAAUUUGCUGAGAGCUUUGAGAUGGUACCUAAAACACUGGCUGAGAAUGCUGGUCUUAAUGCUAUGGAGAUCAUAUCAUCUCUCUAUGCUGAACAUGCAUCUGGAAACACCAAAGUGGGUAUUGACUUGGAUGAAGGGGUUUGUAAGGAUAUGUCAAACAUGAAUAUCUGGGACCUUUAUGUCACAAAAUUUUUUGCGCUCAAAUAUGCCGCAGAUGCUGCCUGCACUGUAUUGCGAGUAGACCAGAUUAUAAUGGCAAAACCAGCUGGUGGUCCAAAGAGAGACCCACCUGCAGGGAUGGAUGAAGACUAGUUUUGUGCAGGGCCGCAACACUUGGUCUUGCUGGUAUCUUUUUGGGCAGAAUCUUUUACUUUCUAUGGUGUCUUUUUUUGCAAUUUUGUUUACUGUUAAAGAAAUGAUAAGAACAUUGCUCUGUAUAUGCUACUCCCAGUCCAACUUCAUCUGAUGAUUGGUUGUGAUGAUAGUCUGGAAGUUCUCAUAUUGGACUCCAAUUUCAACAGAAAAAUUUGUUAGAUUGGGUGCUUCAAGCCAUUUUUGGUGCUGAAUUCACUGAAUUUUUACUUUUUAGUGUUUCACUGUUCACUUAUGGGUGAUUUAAUGGAUUGUACUGGCGCUGUGAUUCUAGUUUAGAGAUAUGUUUAAUGCCAGUGCUUGUAUUUGUGUGGUGGCUUCAAAUUGAGAUUCAUUAAAUCACCCA